CCUACGGGAGGCAGCAGUGAGGAAUAUUGGUCAAUGGACGAGAGUCUGAACCAGCCAAGUAGCGUGAAGGAUGACUGCCCUAUGGGUUGUAAACUUCUUUUAUAUGGGAAUAAAAUGUUCCACGUGUGGGAUUUUGUAUGUACCAUAUGAAUAAGGAUCGGCUAACUCCGUGCCAGCAGCCGCGGUAAUACGGAGGAUCCGAGCGUUAUCCGGAUUUAUUGGGUUUAAAGGGAGCGUAGGUGGAUUGUUAAGUCAGUUGUGAAAGUUUGCGGCUCAACCGUAAAAUUGCAGUUGAAACUGGCAGUCUUGAGUGCAGUAGAGGUGGGCGGAAUUCGUGGUGUAGCGGUGAAAUGCUUAGAUAUCACGAAGAACUCCGAUUGCGAAGGCAGUUCACUGGACUGCAACUGACACUGAGGCUCGAAAGUGUGGGUAUCAAACAGGAUUAGAUACCCCUGUAGUC
RNAcentral lists this ribosomal RNA (460 nucleotides) under uncultured bacterium. RNAcentral's name for it is "partial 16S ribosomal RNA". It matches the Rfam family "Bacterial small subunit ribosomal RNA", at positions 338 to 795 of the family's 1533-position model. The record is from RNAcentral.